RNAcentral lists this ribosomal RNA (382 nucleotides) under uncultured bacterium. RNAcentral describes it as "bacterial SSU rRNA". It matches the Rfam family "Bacterial small subunit ribosomal RNA", at positions 28 to 412 of the family's 1533-position model. The record is from RNAcentral.
GACGAACGCUGGCGGCGUGCUUAACACAUGCAAGUCGAGCGGUAAGGCCCUUUCGGGGGUACACGAGCGGCGAACGGGUGAGUAACACGUGGGUGACCUGCCCUCAGCUCUGGGAUAAGCCUGGGAAACUGGGUCUAAUACCGGAUAUGACUCCAUGACGCAUGUUGUGGGGUGGAAAGCCUUGUGCGGCUGAGGAUGGGCCCGCGGCCUAUCAGCUUGUUGGUGGGGGAUGGCCUACCAAGGCGACGACGGGUAGCCGGCCUGAGAGGGCGACCGGCCACACUGGGACUGAGACACGGCCCAGACUCCUACGGGAGGCAGCAGUGGGGAAUCUUGCGCAAUGGGCGAAAGCCUGACGCAGCGACGCCGCGUGAGGGAUGAC